This 341-nucleotide long non-coding RNA is filed under the name Junco hyemalis (dark-eyed junco). Its description in RNAcentral is "lncRNA (ENSJHYG00000006133.1)". The record is from RNAcentral. Lineage: Eukaryota; Metazoa; Chordata; Aves; Passeriformes; Passerellidae.
CCUCUAUCACAAGUGGAACUAAAAAUAUGUCAAAAUCUUCUUUCACUUAAGUCAUAAUCAGCUUUGACGUGGAAAAAAAACUAUGGAGAUUGCUUUAGCUGAAAGAGAAGAGCUUAAAAUACAAGCAGACCAGAAUGGGAAAAAAAGUUUGGUGGAAACUGUGGAUGCUGAUUCAAUGAAAACACUAAGAAUGGAUGGAUAGAAAUGCUGUCUCAAUUUAGAAAAGCAACUACACAUCAUGAUAUUCUGUGAACCACUGGCUCAUCUAUUUGUUUGAUUUUUUUUUCUUAUUAUUUACUGUAAGUUAUGUGAACAUAAAUAAACCCCACUGUUCAUAGCCA